CCACUUUCAGCAACGGAUCUCUUGGCUCUCGCAUCGAUGAAGAACGCAGCGAAAUGCGAUAAGUAAUGUGAAUUGCAGAAUUCAGUGAAUCAUCGAAUCUUUGAACGCACCUUGCGCUCCUUGGUAUUCCGAGGAGCAUGCCUGUUUGAGUGUCAUUA
Molecule: ribosomal RNA, 158 nt
Filed under: Pseudosperma mimicum
Lineage: Eukaryota; Fungi; Basidiomycota; Agaricomycetes; Agaricales; Inocybaceae
Description: 5.8S ribosomal RNA
Rfam family: 5.8S ribosomal RNA
About the family: 5.8S ribosomal RNA (5.8S rRNA) is a component of the large subunit of the eukaryotic ribosome.
Source: RNAcentral